UACAGAGGGUGCGAGCGUUAAUCGGAAUUACUGGGCGUAAAGCGCGCGUAGGCGGUUUUGUACGUCAGCUGUGAAAUCCCAGGGCUCAACCUGGGAACUGCAUUUGAGACUGCAUGGCUAGAGUAUCGAAGAGGGAAGUGGAAUUUCCGGUGUAGCGGUGAAAUGCGUAGAUAUUCGGAAGAACACCAGUGGCGAAGGCGGCUCACUGGCCCGGUACUGACGCUGAGGUGCGAAAGCGUGGGGAGCAAACAGG
RNAcentral lists this ribosomal RNA (253 nucleotides) under uncultured bacterium. RNAcentral describes it as "partial 16S ribosomal RNA". It matches the Rfam family "Bacterial small subunit ribosomal RNA", at positions 524 to 776 of the family's 1533-position model. The record is from RNAcentral.